This 495-nucleotide ribosomal RNA is filed under the name uncultured Bacteroidota bacterium. Its description in RNAcentral is "bacterial SSU rRNA". It matches the Rfam family "Bacterial small subunit ribosomal RNA", at positions 30 to 513 of the family's 1533-position model. The record is from RNAcentral. Lineage: Bacteria; Pseudomonadati; Bacteroidota.
UGAACGCUAGCGGCAGGCUUAAUACAUGCAAGUCGUGGGGCAGCAGGUCCAUAGCAAUAUGGAUGCUGGCGACCGGUCAAACGGGUGCGGAACACGUAACGCAACCUUCCUUUAAAGUGAGGAAUAGCCCAGGGAAACUUGGAUUAAUACCUCGUAACAUUAUGAAGUGGCAUCACUUUAUAAUUAUAGCUCCGGCGCUUAAAGAUGGGCGUGCGUCUGAUUAGGUAGUUGGCGGGGUAAAGGCCCACCAAGCCUGCGAUCAGUAACUGGUGUGAGAGCACGACCAGUCACACGGGCACUGAGACACGGGCCCGACUCCUACGGGAGGCAGCAGUAAGGAAUAUUGGUCAAUGGACGAAAGUCUGAACCAGCCAUGCCGCGUGAAGGAUGAAGGUCCUCUGGAUUGUAAACUUCUUUUAUAUGGGACGAAGAAAGGGUUUUUCAACUCAACUGACGGUACCAUAUGAAUAAGCACCGGCUAACUCCGUGCUAGCA